RNAcentral lists this ribosomal RNA (497 nucleotides) under uncultured bacterium. Its description in RNAcentral is "partial 16S ribosomal RNA". It matches the Rfam family "Bacterial small subunit ribosomal RNA", at positions 28 to 507 of the family's 1533-position model. The record is from RNAcentral.
GAUGAACGCUGGCGGCGUGCCUAAUACAUGCAAGUCGAGCGAACAGACGAGGAGCUUGCUCCUCUGACGUUAGCGGCGGACGGGUGAGUAACACGUGGAUAACCUACCUAUAAGACUGGGAUAACUUCGGGAAACCGGAGCUAAUACCGGAUAAUAUAUUGAACCGCAUGGUUCAAUAGUGAAAGACGGUUUUGCUGUCACUUAUAGAUGGAUCCGCGCCGCAUUAGCUAGUUGGUAAGGUAACGGCUUACCAAGGCAACGAUGCGUAGCCGACCUGAGAGGGCGAUCGGCCACACUGGAACUGAGACACGGUCCAGACUCCUACGGGAGGCAGCAGUAGGGAAUCUUCCGCAAUGGGCGAAAGCUUGACGGAGCAACGCCGCGUGAGUGAUGAAGGUCUUCGGAUCGUAAAACUCUGUUAUUAGGGAAGAACAAAAGUGUAAGUAACUAUGCACGUCUUGACGGUACCUAAUCAGAAAGCCACGGCUAACUACGUG